UGCAGUUCGAACGAUACUUCCUUUUAGCUUUGCUAAGGAAGGAAAAGUGGCGCACGGGUGCGUAACGCGUAUGCAACCCUACCUUAAUCAGGGGGAUAGCCCGAAGAAAUUCGGAUUAACACCGCAUAAAAUCACAGUACAGCAUUGUACAAUGAUCAAAUAUUUAUAGGAUUAAGAUGGGCAUGCGUGACAUUAGUUAGUUGGCGGGGUAACGGCCCACCAAGACCACGAUGUCUAGGGGAUCUGAGAGGAUGACCCCCCACACUGGUACUGAGACACGGACCAGACUCCUACGGGAGGCAGCAGUAAGGAAUAUUGGUCAAUGGAGGCAACUCUGAACCAGCCAUGCCGCGUGCAGGAAGACAGCCCUCUGGGUCGUAAACUGCUUUUAUUCGGGAAUAAACCUACUUACGUGUAAGUAGCUGAAUGUACCGAAGGAAUAAGGAUCGGCUAACUCCGUGCCAGCAGCCGCGGUAAUACGGAGGAUCCAAGCGUUAUCCGGAUUUAUUGGGUUUAAAGGGUGCGUAGGCGGCUUUUUAAGUCAGGGGUGAAAGACGGUGGCUCAACCAUCGCAGUGCCCUUGAUACUGAAGAGCUUGAAUGAAUUAGAGGUAGGCGGAAUGUGACAAGUAGCGGUGAAAUGCAUAGAUAUGUCACAGAACACCGAUUGCGAAGGCAGCUUACUAUGAUUUUAUUGACGCUGAGGCACGAAAGCGUGGGGAUCAAACAGGAUUAGAUACCCUGGUAGUCCACGCCCUAAACGAUGAAUACUCGCUGUUAGCGAUACACAGUUAGCGGCUAAGCGAAAGCGUUAAGUAUUCCACCUGGGGAGUACGGUCGCAAGAUUGAAACUCAAAGGAAUUGACGGGGGCCCGCACAAGCGGAGGAGCAUGUGGUUUAAUUCGAUGAUACGCGAGGAACCUUACCCGGGCUUGAAAGUUAGUGAAUCAUUUAGAGAUAGAUGAGUCCGCAAGGACACGAAACUAGGUGCUGCAUGGCUGUCGUCAGCUCGUGCCGUGAGGUGUUGGGUUAAGUCCCGCAACGAGCGCAACCCCUAUGUUUAGUUGCCAGCACGUUAAGGUGGGGACUCUAAACAGACUGCCUGUGCAAACAGAGAGGAAGGAGGGGACGACGUCAAGUCAUCAUGGCCCUUACGUCCGGGGCUACACACGUGCUACAAUGGAUGGUACAGAGGGCAGCAAGCUGGUAACAGCAAGCAAAUCUCCAAAAGCCAUUCACAGUUCGGAUAGAGGUCUGCAACUCGACCUCUUGAAGUUGGAUUCGCUAGUAAUCGUAUAUCAGCAAUGAUACGGUGAAUACGUUCCCGGGCCUUGUACACACCGCCCGUCAAGCCAUGGAAGUUGGGGGUACCUAAAGUAUGUAACCGCAAGGAGC
RNAcentral lists this ribosomal RNA (1394 nucleotides) under Pedobacter lusitanus. Its description in RNAcentral is "bacterial SSU rRNA". It matches the Rfam family "Bacterial small subunit ribosomal RNA". Lineage: Bacteria; Pseudomonadati; Bacteroidota; Sphingobacteriia; Sphingobacteriales; Sphingobacteriaceae. The record is from RNAcentral.